AAAGAAUUGUCUGAUUAUUUUAAAUAUUUUGAAGGAAGCAUUAGCAAACAUUUUUUAAAAUCUAAAAUGAACUUAGGCUUUCAGGAUAAGGAAAGAAGUAUUUGAUAACGCUAAAGGAUCUGCAAGAAAUAAUUUAAGAUAUGCAUAGUACUGUAGUGAAGAAUUAUUUUCCAGUGAGUACUGGUGAGAAUGUAAUUCUAAGCCUCAUCAAAAAAAAAAAAAAUACUGUCUCAGUUUUUCUUGAUGUACAUUUGUCUAAUAGGUGCCUAACUGGCUUUAGCUCCUGGAGACUUCAUGGACAUGUCCAUUCAGUUUCCAUUAUAGCAGCAUAGAAAUAAUUUGUGUCUGCUUUCCUGUGAGAUGUUUUUGCAAAUUCCCAGGCUAGCCAACAAUUUGUAUUCCUUGGCAAUCUCUCGUUCAAGAACUGGGUCCAGCCCACACCUGAUCCUGCUUAGUUUUUGACAUAGUAUUGCCACUGGAGAGAGUACUUUCAAUAAUAAUCAUAGAAUAUUGGAAAAGAGCAAGUUCUUAUGAUUUUUAAUUAUGAUUUUUCCCUCAUAGUUUUGAAUUAAAACUGGGGUGAAAUUAUUGUCUAUAAGCAGUGGGUUUGUAUAUGCCUGCUAAGUUACCCUGCUUCUGCCAGGUCUUUUAUUUCAGGAAGCCAACAAAUGAAACUAUAGUAAUAUGAAACGGGUGAGAAAAAUGAUGGAAGGUAUUUGAUAUAAGCUGAAACCAGUCAUUCUAAUGUUAGCACAGAAGAGAAUCAAUAUGGUUGUUUAUACAACCUUUUGAAUCAUACAUUAACAGUUGUGUUCUUGGAAUAUGCCAAAUCAAAACAAACCAACCACAGUAUAAGCUAACAUGAUUGUCUGGUUUUGGCUUGGCCAUAAUGGUUUACAAGCCAUGGUUGAUAGCUUAAAUGUUUUGACUGAUCAUAGCCAAUGUAUAGCAGAUUUUGUCUUGAAAUUUCAAAUCUAUGUAAUAAAUCAUGCUAGGUACAAAGUGAUUGAUUGACUCCUAACGAUCAUAUAGACAUAUAUUAGAUAGACAAAGAAUACUCAGUAGCAGGGUGGUAAUACUUCUGCAUUAUGCCAGGUUGAACCAGAUGUCUAGUUUUCCCACUACAAUAGCAAAUAAAGAGCGAGAUGUCUUCUCAGUCUUCCAAAGUCCUAGAGAAAGACACCAACUCUUCUCAUUUUUGUAGCAUUUGUUCAGUUGUCUUCAAUACCGUUUCCAGGAUUUUUACCCAGACCAGACAUGAGUACAGACUAAUUUCCUCUGAUGACAAUAACAAUGCACAACGUCUGCCUCUCAAACUAACACAAUGAGCUGAAGCUUCAAAGGGAAAUAGGCUAAGGCCUUUCUGCACAGCUUUUCCAAUGCGAAGUCCGGGAAGCAAAUGCCAUUUGCCUUUCUCCCCAUCAGCUUGGCAGCCGAGCCCUCGUUCCCGCCCCACCCACGCGUCAGCCUUUGGCUGGCCCCUGGGACGGAGGGGAAAGGAAGGGGAGGAUCAAUUCCGCCCCUCCCCUCCCGAACACGAAAGGUGACGUCAUUAUCCGGGCUCUUCUCACCGCGGGUCACAAUGGAGCCGAAACGGAGCUCAACCGAAACGAAACGGCUGGGCAGCCACCCGCCUCAGUGAUCGCGGCCCGGCCUCGUUAACUCGGGCCCCGCUCGGCCGCCGUCGCCGUCCAGCCCAGCCAGCAACGCUGUCAGGCCUUGGCCCCUCCCCCGCCCUCUACACACGGCACACCAAGCAGACCCUACCACAGUACGGCGGCGACCCUAGCCCCACAUAAAGCAAGGCGUGAGCGGCUGCUGCUCCCUGCACUGUCUCGGGACACGGAAGGGGGCUGUGGGAGUGACUGACUGACUGACACUCAGGAAAGGGAGGGGGUCACGUUGGCCGCCGCGAACGCUGUUUGGGUGGCGGGGCCGGCGCCGCUGCGUUGAGUCGGAGUCUGCGCUGCAUAUGCUGUGAGCCGAGCCCUCCUAGAGCCGCCAUAUUGCCCGGGACUCAGACGCUCCGUCUCUGCUGCUGCUGCUGCCGCCGCCACCUCCGUCGCGAUUUUGCUCCUAGGCGCAGCGCGGGUUUCCCCCCCUCUUCUAGAGGUAGCCUCGUUGGUUUCUCGCUGCUGGCCUUGCCAGUCCAGGCCCCCUUCCUAUCUCCUAUUCCCAUCCCCUUCUCCAGGGAUUGAAGGUAUCCGAUUUCCCCGGAUGAGGUGGUAUAGCCCGCAGGCCUAGCUCAGCUUAACAGGAACCACAGGACGAGAGAGAGCGUCAGCCCGCCCGGGCCCUGCAACACACCAGCAGUGGGGCGGUCGCCGAAAAGCUGGUGACGCAAAACUAAAAAGAAGAAAAGAAAGGAAAAUACAAGAAAAGGUUCCCCCGGAAAGGAGGCUCGGUCGGGAAAGCGACGCGGGACACCUUCCUGCAAAACCCGGCGUAGGAAAGCCGGCUUCUCUAGCAGCCACCGCCACUCGUCUUUUCCUUGGGAUGAGGCGCAGCCCCGUUGGUUGUUGCGGCGGCGGCGGCUUGUGCCGCCUGGGAUGAGAAACUCUUCGGCCACACCCGCCGCAGCCUCCUCCUCCCUGCAUCGCCAGCGGCAGCGGCGCCUGGGAGCAGAGCGGGCCUCGGCAUUAGAACCAAGAGUAGCAGCAGGAAAAGGCGACACUGUGUGGGGUUGAGACCAGUGGGACUCAGCCUAAUUGAGACGUGGAUCCAAAACACCACUAGCUGGAACUAGCUGAUGUAUGAAUUGUAUUUAGAAAAAGUGUUCAAGCAAUUCUGUGGUUCAGACAUAACAUUCACUAAAAACUAAAGAGCAGAAGUAGGUAAAAGCAAAAAUACACUGGCAUUUCCAAAAAUGUUCUGAAAGCAUAAGGUAAAGUAUACUGAAUUGUGAGUCGAUCUGGAUAUUACAAGAAAAACAAGUCUUAUGCCUAUAAUUUUAGAAGUGUAUUUCCUUAUAGUUACCAUUAUAAAUGCAUUUAACAAAUA
Python bivittatus (Burmese python) is the source of this 3000-nucleotide non-coding RNA. The record is from RefSeq and is a predicted model, not a curated record. NCBI's taxonomy places the organism in Eukaryota, Metazoa, Chordata, Lepidosauria, Squamata, Pythonidae.